UUGUUUUUGUUUUUGUUUUUGUUUUCAACACAGAGUUUCUCUGUAUUGCUUUGGAGGUUGUCCUGGAACUAGCUCUUGUAGACCAGGCUGGCCUCGAACUCACAGAGAUCCACCUGCCUCUGCCUCCCAAGUGUUGGGAUUAAAGGCGUGAGCCACCAAUGCCCGCCUGAGGCAGCAUUCUUAUAGGUACAGAUUCAAGGAGUUUCUGGUUGGUGAAGAGGGCAAGGCUGAUAGAAGCCUCAGAGGCUGCUAUGGUCAGUUCAGUCUGACUCAAAGUAGAACUAACUUUGCUGAAGCAGAUGAAUAAGCACUUCCCCCUGCCACUGGAAUGUCCAUGCCAUGAUUUAGGAGAGUCAGUCACCCUGCUCUAUACUCUGGCUUAGGUAAGACCCUUGAUUCAUUUGGUCAUCCUCUUGCACUGGACACGGCGCUUGACAUGAUUGAGCCUAAGACUGUUACAGUGCUGUGUUUCCCCAGGUAGCCUAGGAGACAGAGAUGCUAAAGAGAAACUGGUGGAUGCUCCAUUCACAGCAGGUAAAGUGCAUGACAUGGAGGCAAUGAGGACAUGAGUUCAGACCCCAGUACCUACAAAAAAAGCUGUGCACAGUGUGUUCACAUUCAUGUGUGAGACCAGCAAAACCACUCAACAUGCUGAGAUCCAGGAAAAAAAUUAAAGACCCCUCACUAGCAUUCUCACUUAUAAGAAAAUAAAGAUCUUGAGUUCCUGUUUUGUCUUUGGUUUGUUUGUCAUUUGAAGCAGGGUUUCACACUGUAAUCCACACUGGGUUAGCGCAGGUUAGCUCUCAAAUUCACAGCAGUUCUCCUGGCUCAGCCUUCUCAAUACUGAGAUGACAGACACCAGGCCCGAUCCCCAGCCAUGAGGUUCUUUCUAUUCCAGCCUUAUCUUAGUCUGUGUGAAAGUGUAUUUAUUGGAUGAACUGAUGCAGAGUCACAGAGCUAUGCACCAGGGACUUCUUAAUAACAAUUUUGAAUUCCAAGGAGCUCAGUAACUUGGGGGAAUGGUCAAAGGAGAGAGCAAAAGAUAAACGCCUCCUACCCACAUCCUUCCCUCCACCCAUAUCCAAGAAGAAUGUGAAAAAUGGCAAACCUUUCCCUGCCCAUAUCCUCAUUAUUGCCUCCCAUUUCUUUGCCCCACCCACUCCCAGG
Molecule: long non-coding RNA, 1167 nt
Filed under: Cricetulus griseus (Chinese hamster)
Lineage: Eukaryota; Metazoa; Chordata; Mammalia; Rodentia; Cricetidae
Description: lncRNA (ENSCGRG00015036587.1)
Source: RNAcentral